RNAcentral lists this long non-coding RNA (510 nucleotides) under Setaria italica (foxtail millet). Its description in RNAcentral is "long non-coding RNA (SITA_LNC002613)". Lineage: Eukaryota; Viridiplantae; Streptophyta; Magnoliopsida; Poales; Poaceae. The record is from RNAcentral.
AUCGUUGAAUCUUGAGGGGAGUAUUUUUCGUUUGAAGUUGGUGCCUUUCUUGGUUCCUUCUGUUAUCUGUUCGAGCGCAGGAGCAAUCGACCGGCAGCUUCGCACGGACGCGGGGCAGGCCAGCUCAUCGGGCCAGGCCAGCAGCAGCGAGCCCAGCUAGUGGCAGCAGGCUGCCCAGCAGCAGCACGCCCUGCUUGUGCUUCGCAGGCCAGGCCAGCAGGCCAACAGUAGCAGGCCUGGCGAGCACCGCAGCUCAACCUGGUGGCCAGCGGCCCAGCACGCACGUGUGAGAGCAGGCGGAGACACAAGCACUCUAUAGCCAGGAGCACCCACGUGUGGCCUAAGGAGAAUCAACCCAUCAUUUCCAGCUGGCCCAUCGAGGUUCGGUCUAGUGCUUUUAAUUCGUGCUAAGUUAAUUAUUGCUAGAUAAUCUGUGCAACCUUGUUCAAUUGUUUUGUCAUUCGCUAAUCAUGCUUAGUUCUUAAUUAAUUAUUUCAAGCAUUUUUAGUC